This 384-nucleotide unclassified non-coding RNA is filed under the name uncultured bacterium. Its description in RNAcentral is "contains 16S-23S intergenic spacer region". The record is from RNAcentral.
UCCGGUUUGGCACCGGCAGUCCCCCGAGAGUCCUCAGCGUUUUGCAACCUGUUAGCAACACGGGGCGGGGGUUGCGCUCGUUGCGGGACUUAACCCAACAUCUCACGACACGAGCUGACGACAGCCAUGCAGCACCUGUGCACGAUCUCCGAAGAGGGGCUCUCGUUUCUGAGAGCUUGCUCGUGCAUGUCAAGCCUAGGUAAGGUUCUUCGCGUUGUGUCGAAUUAAACCACAUGCUCCACCGCUUGUGCGGGCCCCCGUCAAUUUCUUUGAGUUUUAAUCUUGCGACCGUACUUCCCAGGCGGGGUACUUAUCGCGUUAGCUACGGCACCGGGAGGGUAUAUCUCCCGACACCUAGUACCCAUAGUUUACGGCGUGGACUAC